This is a long non-coding RNA of Vicia villosa (hairy vetch), 472 nucleotides long. RefSeq lists it as uncharacterized. The record is from RefSeq and is a predicted model, not a curated record. The transcript is spliced from 3 exons. Lineage: Eukaryota; Viridiplantae; Streptophyta; Magnoliopsida; Fabales; Fabaceae.
UCUUUCUCAGAUGAAAGGGCGCCGGUUUUUGGUUGAAGGGUUAUGUAAUUGAUGAUUUUGUCAUCGUCGCUCAUCUGUUUCACGAGACAGAAGAAUCAUGACCCGAACUGCAACAACAAUAACUCUGUUUCCUUACUCAGCCAUGUUCCAGAACGACAAACUCAUCCAUGUUUUCUCUUAUCUCAUCCAUGUUCAACGACAAACUCAUCCAUGUUUUCUCUUAUCUCAUCCAUGUUCCGAUCACCUUUCUAUCGAUUCUUUUCACUCUUUCACUAAUUUGCUAUUGGCGGUGCAGAUUCUGAUCGUAUUCAUCAAUUGUAGAUUGCAGAACUUUCAAUUUCGUUUCUGGGUAGCUGCGCUUGAACCACAGCAAAUGCAGUGAUUGGAUCGAAAGAAACAACAUGGUUGAAUCUAACUCAAGAUUGCAGAACUUUCAAUUUCGUUUCUGGGUAGCUGCGCUUAAACCACAGCA